CUUUGGUCGGCUCCUCUCAAAUGGAUCAGCUUGCCAGUGUUUGGUGGCGUCAUGGGUGUGAUAAAUAUCUACGCUUGUGGCCGUCUGCCAGGUAACCUUCAGCGAUGGAGGUUCGCUGGAGCUCACAAAGGUCUUCCUCAGCGAAGACAGCUUUUUGAACGUUCGAUCUCAAAUCAGGUAGGACUACCCGCUGAACUUAA
This 200-nucleotide unclassified non-coding RNA is filed under the name soil metagenome. RNAcentral describes it as "partial contains internal transcribed spacer 2 and large subunit ribosomal RNA". The record is from RNAcentral.